CAGAGGUCUCGAGCGUUAGUCGGAAUCACUGGGCUUAAAGCGUACGUAGGCGGAUAUGCAGGCGUCGUGUGAAAUCCCCCGGCUCAACCGGGGAACUGCACGGCGAACCGCAUGUCUUGAGACAAGUAGGGGCGGUCGGAACGAUAGGUGGAGUGGUGAAAUGCGUUGAUAUCUAUCGGAACGCCGAAGGUGAAGACAGGCCGCUGGGCUCGUUCUGACGCUGAUGUACGAAAGCGUGGGUAGCGAACGGGAUUAGAUACCCCGGUAGUCCACGCCGUAAACGAUGUGCACUAGAUCGAGGAGGUUUUGACACCGUUCUCGGUCGAAGUAAAAACGUUGAGUGCACCGCCUGGGGAGUACGGUCGCAAGGCUA
RNAcentral lists this ribosomal RNA (373 nucleotides) under uncultured organism. Its description in RNAcentral is "bacterial SSU rRNA". It matches the Rfam family "Bacterial small subunit ribosomal RNA", at positions 526 to 896 of the family's 1533-position model. The record is from RNAcentral.